Molecule: long non-coding RNA, 572 nt
Organism: Humulus lupulus (European hop)
Lineage: Eukaryota; Viridiplantae; Streptophyta; Magnoliopsida; Rosales; Cannabaceae
Exons: 3
Source: RefSeq, a predicted model, not a curated record
GUAGGGUUGCACGAUUUAGGCUCCAUAAUCAUAUAUUGGCAAAGGGUCUAAGAAGCGUUGUUGUGCGCCUGAGUCGAAGAAGCCUCACGAUCGGGAUUGAUGAUAGGUUUCCGUGCGCGUAGGUCGAAGAGAGAUUUAAGCAAUGACCAGUUGACCACAUUGGGAGUAGCAUUCCGUCCAAUUUGCCAGCUACCUUGUAAAACUCGGAUUUAUCCAGUAAUAACUUGAGUGGGAUUCUGCCGCCCUCUUUAGAAAAUCUGUAGUCUCUAACAACUCUGAGUUUCAUAAACAAUUGAUAGAGCAUCAAUUAUUUUACCAACUCACCAAGAUUAGAGCUCACUAUUAUAUUGGCAGGCGUUUGCAGAACAAUUAGUUUUCUUGGCCACUGGAUGUCUUAUAAGAUCUUCCCUUAAAAGAUUUGUGCUCUAAUUUACAUUUCAUCUAGUAUUUACUUAAUACUCUUUUUCUAUGAGAUUUUGAGUUGUAAUUUGAGAUUAAUAUUAUCAUAAUUUUGUGAUUAUUAAUUAGUUGUAUGUAUAAUUUUAUUAUUAAUGUUUAAAUUAAUUGGAUCU